AUACGUAGGGGGCGAGCGUUGUCCGGAAUGACUGGGCGUAAGGGUACGUAGGCGGCUAGGUAAGUCAGAUGUGAAAGGCAUGGGCUCAACCCGUGUUAGCAUUUGAAACUGCUUAGCUUGAGUCAAGGAGAGGAAAGUGGAAUUCCUGGUGUAGCGGUGAAAUGCGUAGAUAUCAGGAGGAAUACCAGUGGCGAAGGCGACUUUCUGGACUUAGACUGACGCUGAGGUACGAAAGCGUGGGGAGCAAACAGGAUUAGAUACCCUGGUAGUCCACGCCGUAAACGAUGAGUGCUAGGUGUCGGGGCGUAAGCUUCGGUGCCGGAGUUAACACAUUAAGCACUCCGCCUGGGGAGUACGUUCGCAAGAAUGAA
Molecule: ribosomal RNA, 371 nt
Filed under: uncultured bacterium
Lineage: Bacteria
Description: bacterial SSU rRNA
Rfam family: Bacterial small subunit ribosomal RNA
Source: RNAcentral